This 529-nucleotide ribosomal RNA is filed under the name Aurantiochytrium limacinum. RNAcentral's name for it is "partial Bacterial small subunit ribosomal RNA". It matches the Rfam family "Bacterial small subunit ribosomal RNA", at positions 1 to 520 of the family's 1533-position model. The record is from RNAcentral. Lineage: Eukaryota; Bigyra; Thraustochytrida; Thraustochytriidae.
GUGAAGAGUUUGAUCCUGGCUCAGAGUGAACGCUGGCGGCAGGCCUAACACAUGCAAGUCGAACGGCAGCACAGUAAGAGCUUGCUCUUAUGGGUGGCGAGUGGCGGACGGGUGAGGAAUACAUCGGAAUCUACUCUUUCGUGGGGGAUAACGUAGGGAAACUUACGCUAAUACCGCAUACGACCUACGGGUGAAAGCGGAGGACCUUCGGGCUUCGCGCGAUUGAAUGAGCCGAUGUCGGAUUAGCUAGUUGGCGGGGUAAAGGCCCACCAAGGCGACGAUCCGUAGCUGGUCUGAGAGGAUGAUCAGCCACACUGGAACUGAGACACGGUCCAGACUCCUACGGGAGGCAGCAGUGGGGAAUUUUGGACAAUGGGCGCAAGCCUGAUCCAGCAAUGCCGCGUGCGGGAAGAAGGCCUUCGGGUUGUAAACCGCUUUUGUACGGAACGAAAAGGCUCUGGCUAAUACCUGGGGCUGAUGACGGUACCGUAAGAAUAAGCACCGGCUAACUACGUGCCAGCAGCCGCGG